GUAGUCAUAUGCUUGUCUCAAAGAUUAAGCCAUGCAUGUCUAAGUAUAAGCAAUUAUACAGCGAAACUGCGAAUGGCUCAUUAUAUAAGUUAUCGUUUAUUUGAUAGUACCUUACUACUUGGAUAACCGUGGUAAUUCUAGAGCUAAUACAUGCUGAAAAUCCCGACUUCGGAAGGGAGGUAUUUAUUAGAUUAAAAACCAAUGCCCUCUGGGCUCCUUGGUGAUUCAUAAUAACUUUUCGAAUCGCACGGCCUUGCGCCGGCGAUGGUUCAUUCAAAUUUCUUCCCUAUCAACUUUCGAUGUUUGGGUAUUGGCCAAACAUGGUCGCAACGGGUAACGG
RNAcentral lists this ribosomal RNA (340 nucleotides) under Beauveria bassiana. Its description in RNAcentral is "SSU rRNA". It matches the Rfam family "Eukaryotic small subunit ribosomal RNA", at positions 20 to 365 of the family's 1831-position model. The record is from RNAcentral. Lineage: Eukaryota; Fungi; Ascomycota; Sordariomycetes; Hypocreales; Cordycipitaceae.